GAGUUUGAUCAUGGCUCAGAACGAACGCUGGCGGCAUGCCUAACACAUGCAAGUCGAACGAAGGCUUCGGCCUUAGUGGCGCACGGGUGCGUAACGCGUGGGAAUCUGCCCUUUGCUUCGGAAUAACAGUGGGAAACUACUGCUAAUACCGGAUGAUGUCUUCGGACCAAAGAUUUAUCGGCAAGGGAUGAGCCCGCGUAGGAUUAGGUAGUUGGUGGGGUAAAGGCCUACCAAGCCGACGAUCCUUAGCUGGUCUGAGAGGAUGAUCAGCCACACUGGGACUGAGACACGGCCCAGACUCCUACGGGAGGCAGCAGUGGGGAAUAUUGGACAAUGGGCGAAAGCCUGAUCCAGCAAUGCCGCGUGAGUGAUGAAGGCCCUAGGGUUGUAAAGCUCUUUUACCCGGGAAGAUAAUGACUGUACC
RNAcentral lists this ribosomal RNA (424 nucleotides) under uncultured Alphaproteobacteria bacterium. RNAcentral describes it as "bacterial SSU rRNA". It matches the Rfam family "Bacterial small subunit ribosomal RNA", at positions 9 to 479 of the family's 1533-position model. The record is from RNAcentral. Lineage: Bacteria; Pseudomonadati; Pseudomonadota; Alphaproteobacteria.